This 784-nucleotide ribosomal RNA is filed under the name uncultured Neisseria sp. Its description in RNAcentral is "bacterial SSU rRNA". It matches the Rfam family "Bacterial small subunit ribosomal RNA", at positions 727 to 1512 of the family's 1533-position model. The record is from RNAcentral. Lineage: Bacteria; Pseudomonadati; Pseudomonadota; Betaproteobacteria; Neisseriales; Neisseriaceae.
UCCUGGGAUAACACUGACGUUCAUGCCCGAAAGCGUGGGUAGCAAACAGGAUUAGAUACCCUGGUAGUCCACGCCCUAAACGAUGUCGAUUAGCUGUUGGGCAGCAUGACUGCUUAGUAGCGAAGCUAACGCGUGAAAUCGACCGCCUGGGGAGUACGGUCGCAAGAUUAAAACUCAAAGGAAUUGACGGGGACCCGCACAAGCGGUGGAUGAUGUGGAUUAAUUCGAUGCAACGCGAAGAACCUUACCUGGUCUUGACAUGUACGGAACCCUCCAGAGACGGAGGGGUGCCUUCGGGAGCCGUAACACAGGUGCUGCAUGGCUGUCGUCAGCUCGUGUCGUGAGAUGUUGGGUUAAGUCCCGCAACGAGCGCAACCCUUGUCAUUAGUUGCCAUCAUUAAGUUGGGCACUCUAAUGAGACUGCCGGUGACAAGCCGGAGGAAGGUGGGGAUGACGUCAAGUCCUCAUGGCCCUUAUGACCAGGGCUUCACACGUCAUACAAUGGUCGGUACAGAGGGUAGCCAAGCCGCGAGGUGGAGCCAAUCUCACAAAACCGAUCGUAGUCCGGAUUGCACUCUGCAACUCGAGUGCAUGAAGUCGGAAUCGCUAGUAAUCGCAGGUCAGCAUACUGCGGUGAAUACGUUCCCGGGUCUUGUACACACCGCCCGUCACACCAUGGGGGUGGGGGAUACCAGAAGUAGGUAGGGUAACCGCAAGGAGCCCGCUUACCACGGUAUGCUUCAUGACUGGGGUGAAGUCGUAACAAGGUAGCCGUAGGGGAACC